AUGCUCAGAGAAAGUAGGUCACAAACACACAGUAUAUUAAUAACUAAGAAUAAGUGUAGAGCUCUUAAUUGUAAAACUUGGGGUUGUUUACAUGUUACCAAACUGCCUCUCAAGCAUCUUGAAGGAUUGGUUAGAAAAUAUAACCACUGGUCCAUUUAUUUCAUCCAGAAUUUAUUGGUGUGUAUACUGUCGAAAAAAUGCCUAUAAUGAAUCAGAUAUACAUAGACCAUGCACAUUACCUUAAACAUUGGUUUCUAAUCUUUCCAUUUGUGGGUUUCCUCCAUCUUUCUCAAUGCUCCACCUUGGUCUCCAUUUUGGACUACUCUCUUCCUGCUCAACUCAACUCCUCUCCAGGAUUCCACUAUGUCCUGUUGCAUUCCUGGUCUUCUACAAACUCUCACUGAGCCAUCUCAUCAUUACAUUUCCCUCAAGUAUCAAACACUGGUUAAUCGGAUGACUUUCACACUAGUAACUCCAGUCUAGAUCUCCAUUUUGAACCCAAGGACAAAUACCCAUUUCAAAUUGGAUACUUCUACCUAUAAAAUUCUAGUUAUUCUCUCAACUUACUCAUCAGUUGAGGGUUACUAAAGUAGGUUUUGUGUUCCUGCUUCUUGGAUCUCUACAAAUUUAUUCCUUCCCCAAUAUUGCCUUGUCUAAUUUCAUCAACACCAGUAAAGGCACUGACUUAAAAAUGGACUCGUCACCAUCAGAGCAGAAGGAGGAACUUAGCUACUUGUUCACUGGAACAUAAAAGUUACUGUUGGGUUGGCCAAAAAGUUCAUUCAGGGUUUCCUGUACAACUUACGGAAAAUCCUGGAUGAACUUUUUGGCCCGACCCAAUACACAUAAACUUCUUAGCAGAGACAUUCUAGUAAGGCAGAUGGGGGUGUCAGCAAGAUACUCUUCAUAACUUCAAGUCUGCAUGCUGAGAAUGAAAUUGGGAGAAGUGUAAUUAAUGAGAUUAGCCAUCUGGACAAGAAAUGUCCCUCAGUAAUGAAUGGCUAAAGUGUUUCAGGAACAUCCAGGCUCAGUAACCUCAGUGUCCUCAGAAAAUCAUUAGCUUAUCUAAGAUUGUAGUUAAUCAAGACAUGAAGUUUGGAGACAGACAGAUAGUUUAAAUUCAAGCUAAUAUACUUCUGUCAUUUUGUUCAACCUAUCUAACUUUUCUAGCCUCAGUUUUCUCAUANNNNNNNNNNNNNNNNNNNNNNNNNNNNNNNNNNNNNNNNNNNNNNNNNNNNNNNNNNNNNNNNNNNNNNNNNNNNNNNNNNNNNNNNNNNNNNNNNNNGUAAAAUAAGGUUAGUGGUACUUCAUAUAAUUACAAAGAUUAGGUGAGUGAAUUUAUACCUAGCCUGUACACAAUAUGUCUGGAGAAGGGAAUGUCAAUCCACUCCAGUGUUCUUGCCUAGAGAAUUCCAUAGACAGAGAAACCUGGCGGGCUACAGUUCAUGGGGUCGCAAAGAGUCAGACAUGACUGAGCGACUAACACACACACAUACAGAGAAUGUAUCAAUAAAGCAUUAUGGAGGCUAGAAUUAUAGCUGGAGGAAUAGUACUAAAUGAGGUAGAAAUUCUUUAUCAUUGAUUGUUUUAAUGUGCAAAUAAGAAUUAGCAUGAAGCAUAAAAAAUGAUGUCUAGCGGUAGCUACGACCUAUACUAUAAAACUGUCCCCAACAUGUGUAGGUCUAAAUGAGAUAGUUCUCUUUCUCUCUUUUUUUUUCUUUUUAAAUUACAUACCAAUGACUCAUUUAUUUUAUAACUGGAGGUUCAUACCUUUCACCUACUUAACUCAUUUUGCCCACCCUCUACCUCUGGCAACUACCAAUCUGUUCUCUGUAUCUGUGAGUUUGUUUUUUCUUUGUUUGUCUUGAUAUUCCACAUNAACUACCAAUCUGUUCUCUGUAUCUGUGAGUUUGUUUUUUCUUUGUUUUGUUUGUCUUGAUAUUCCACAUAUAAGUGAGAUCAUACAGUGUUUAUCUUCCUCUGUCUGACUUAUUUCACUUAGCAUAAUGCCCUCAAUGUCCUCUAUAUUGUCACAAGUGAUAAAAAUCCAUUCUUUUGUGUGGCUGAAUAGUAGUCCAUUGUAUAGAUAUACCACAACUUCUUUAUCUGUUCAUCCAUCAGUGGACAUUUAGAUUCUAUCCAUGAGCCAGUUCUCCUGGUACAUAGAUUCCUACAUUCUUCUUUGGGUUACCAUAGCUCAGUAACCAUGAAAAUCAUCCAAUUAACUAUUUUUAUACUGAUUCUGUGAUCAUCAACCAAUGUACUAUUUGUAAUUUGACUUCUAGGGAACCUUCUUAUCUAGAGAAAAUAUGUUGAAUAUCCCACCAUCCAGUCCUUGUGACCGGUAUACAUUCUAUUAUAAAACACUGGCAUUCUGGAUUAGGCACCAAUUUAUUGUGAAUUGAUUUGGUAGAGUUCAUCCCUGAGAGACUGGUUAUCUGUGUGCAAAUUGACACUGUCACAUAAGAAAUAUACACAGGUAUCCCUUGGAGAUAUGGCAUGUUUUGUUCCAGACCACAAAAAUAAAGCAAGCAUCACAAUAAAGCAAGUUACAUGAAUAUUUUUUGCUUAUCUAAUGCACAGAAAAGUUAUGUCUUUGUACUAUAGUCUAUUAAGUGUGCAAUAGCACAAUGCCUUAAAAACAUAUGCAUACUUUAAUUUAAAAAUACUUCAGUGCUAAAAUUUAACUAUAUCUGAGAACAUAUAACAAUAAUGAAAAAGUUUGAAAUAUUCCAAGAAUUACCAAAAUGUGACAUUGAGAAAUGAACU
RNAcentral lists this long non-coding RNA (2769 nucleotides) under Capra hircus (goat). Its description in RNAcentral is "lncRNA (ENSCHIG00010022357.1)". Lineage: Eukaryota; Metazoa; Chordata; Mammalia; Artiodactyla; Bovidae. The record is from RNAcentral.